GGUCAAAGAAGAAAGCAACACUAAAGUCCAGUCGAAAUCAGAUUAUUUUGAUGCAGCAAAAAAUAUACGUUUGGUUCCGAAAUUUUGUGAAAAAACAGUCGAUAAAUAUUUUCCACAGUUUGAGAAAAUUGCUAAUAAUUUGAAAUGGCCAAAGCCAUAUUGGACUACAAUGCUACAAAGUGUUUUUGAGGGUAAGGCCGCUGAAAUAUACUCCGCACUUCCAUCAGAAAAAAGUUCCGAUUAUGACACGGUGAAACAGGAAGUUUUGAAAGCUUAUGAGCUAGUACCAGA
This 291-nucleotide long non-coding RNA is filed under the name Mytilus galloprovincialis (Mediterranean mussel). Lineage: Eukaryota; Metazoa; Mollusca; Bivalvia; Mytilida; Mytilidae. The record is from RNAcentral.